AAUCAGGAGCUGCAGGAGAAGAUCUGGACGCCACAAAAGGACCUGCGGUCUCUGAUCCGGUUCUGGACACUCUGGAGUUGCGUGAGAACAUCUGGACGCCACAAAAGCCUUUGGAGAAGAAGAAGAGGGUGUGUGUGUGUGUGUCUUUGCUUUUGAAGAAGAGAAGAAGGCCUCAACCACAUCCUUCAUAAGUCAAAUCGACAGGAGCUGCAGUCUCUGAUCCGGUUCUGGACACUUUGGAGCUGCAGGAGAACAUCUGGACGCCACAAAAGGAGCUGUGGUCUCUGAUCCGGUUCUGGACCCUCUGGAGCUGCAGGAGAACAUCUGGACGCCACUAAAGCCUUUGGAGAAGAAGAAGAGGGUGUGUGUGAGUGUGUGUGUCUUUGCUUUUGAAGAAGAGAAGAAGGCCUCAACCACAUCCUUCAUAAGUCAAAUCGACAGGAGCUGCGGUCUCUGAUCUGGUUCUGGACACUAUGGAGCUGCGUGAGAACAUCUGGACGCCACAAAAGGUGAGUGUCAUGAUUGUGAUUGGCUGCUGAGCAAUGUGCUGUUGCUAAGAUCAAGAUGCUGUGCAACAUGGAGUUUAGCGGAGAGCAAACUGGACCUCAUGCACGAGUCCUUCAUAAGGGAUCCAAUCAGCAUCAGGAAAAGAAGAGGGUGCAAGUUAAGGACAUGGGAUGGGACUUGAAGUGCGCCAACAGAAAGUCAGGAAAAGGUUACAGGUUGAGCAGAUGGGAGAGUGUGUGUGUGUCCAAAUCCUGUCGACCAAUCAGAAGCUGCGGUCUCUGAUCCGAUUCUGGACACUCUGGAGCUGCAGGAGAACAUCUGGACGCCACAAAAGGUGAGUGUCAUGAUUGUGAUUGGCAAUGUGCCGUUGCUAAGAUCAAGAUGCUGUGCAACAUGGAGUUUAGCGGAGAGCAAACUGGACGUCAUGCACGAGUCCUUCAUAAGUGAUCCAAUCAGCAUCAGGUGGAAUGUUGAGGGUGCAGGUUAAGGACAUCGCAGUGGACCUGGAGUGAGUGUGUGUGGAGGACUCGACCACCAGAAGAUAUUUGAGCUGCGGUCUCUGAUCUGGUUCUGGACACUCUGGAGCUGCAGGAGAACAUCUGGACGCCACAAAAGGUGAGUGUCAUGAUUGUGAUUGGCUGCUGAGCAAUGUGCCGUUGCUAAGAUUCAGAUGCUGGGCAACAUGGAGUUUAGCGGAGAGCAAACUGGACCUCAUGCACGAGUCCUUCAUAAGUGAUCCAAUCAGCAUCAGGUACCAAUAUCAUGUGUGAACAAGCUUGUGUUGUGGUGCUGAAGCCUGAAGUGAUGAUAUGGACAGCUUUUUAGCCCUGUUCCUGGGCAGUGACAACUUUCACUCUGACAUCAGGCAACAUGUCUUUAUCUGGAAGACUGAGAUCAGUAGCUUAAUGACAUUUAAUGAUCAUGUUACCUGUUGUGUGUGUGUAUGUGUGUAUUUGUGUCUUUGUGUGUUUUAUAUGAUGUGUGGGCAUAUGUGGAUCCAAUUCACUUCAAGCUACGGCCAAAUGGUAACACAAGGUAACACACACACACACACAUUGCUCACACACACAGAGACACUCAGAUACUCACGCAGUGUGCAGCGACAUCAGUUACAUGCAUCUGAUAUUAGGCAACAAUUUUAUCUUGUAAUUUGACAGUUUUAUUUUCUAAUUUGACAGUUUUAUCUUGUAAUUUGAAUCAUUAACACUUAACUUAAUGACCAUUUAGCUACCAUACUGUCACAGCAUUCAGGGUUUGUGUCAACUUGAGGGUUAAGGGCCAGCAAAAAGUUAAGGUUUGUGUGUGUUUGAGAGAGAGAGAGAGAUAGAGAGAGAAAGAGAGAGAGAGGCACCUAUGGUUGCCAUGAAGCAAAAUAAUUUUCCCUUUGCUCAAUCAAUAAAUCAAAACUGACCUUUUCUUUCACUCUCUCAAUCAUAGAUGAAUGUGUGUGUGUGUGUGUGUGUGUUUUUGGAGAAGAAAAGGUUUCAGAUUGAGCAGAUAGGAGAGUGUGUGUGUGUAAGGAUCCUGUCUUGUGUUCCUUGUCUAGUGUUUUUCCGUCAUGUCUGUUCCUCUUGUGUCUUCCUGUUUGCUUUGUUUACUUCC
Long non-coding RNA from Alosa alosa (allis shad), 2109 nucleotides. RefSeq lists it as uncharacterized. NCBI's taxonomy places the organism in Eukaryota, Metazoa, Chordata, Actinopteri, Clupeiformes, Clupeidae. The transcript has 14 exons. The record is from RefSeq and is a predicted model, not a curated record.